CGCGGGAUAGAGUAAUUGGUAACUCGUCAUCAUAGAACGUUAAUGUUGUGGGUUCGAAUCCGACUCCCGCCA
This 72-nucleotide transfer RNA is filed under the name Apopellia endiviifolia. RNAcentral describes it as "tRNA-fMet". It matches the Rfam family "tRNA". Rfam says of the family: Transfer RNA (tRNA) molecules are approximately 80 nucleotides in length. Their secondary structure includes four short double-helical elements and three loops (D, anti-codon, and T loops). Further hydrogen bonds mediate the characteristic L-shaped molecular structure. tRNAs have two regions of fundamental functional importance: the anti-codon, which is responsible for specific mRNA codon recognition, and the 3' end, to which the tRNAs corresponding amino acid is attached (by aminoacyl-tRNA synthetases). tRNAs cope with the degeneracy of the genetic code in two manners: having more than one tRNA (with a specific anti-codon) for a particular amino acid; and 'wobble' base-pairing, i.e. permitting non-standard base-pairing at the 3rd anti-codon position. The record is from RNAcentral. Lineage: Eukaryota; Viridiplantae; Streptophyta; Jungermanniopsida; Pelliales; Pelliaceae.